Molecule: ribosomal RNA, 253 nt
Filed under: uncultured bacterium
Lineage: Bacteria
Description: partial 16S ribosomal RNA
Rfam family: Bacterial small subunit ribosomal RNA
Source: RNAcentral
UACGUAGGGUGCGAGCGUUAAUCGGAAUUACUGGGCGUAAAGCGUGCGCAGGCGGUUUUGUAAGUCAGAUGUGAAAUCCCCGGGCUUUACCUGGGAACUGCGUUUGAAACUACAAGGCUAGAGUGUAGCAGAGGGGGGUGGAAUUCCACGUGUAGCAGUGAAAUGCGUAGAGAUGUGGAGGAACACCGAUGGCGAAGGCAGCCCCCUGGGUUAACACUGACGCUCAGGCACGAAAGCGUGGGGAGCAAACAGG